CACAGAUAUUAGAAUGUGUGAGUUGGGAUCUUUGACAUUGGGUGCAAUAGUGUUUUAGAAACUUCAAAAAGGAAAGUGUUCAUUUUACACCUGUUAUUUUCUUUUUAAGUCACUCUUUAUUCUAGGAGUUCACUAUUACAUAGUUAUUUAAAGGAUUCAUCAGAUUUAUUUUACCCAUCAAAGAUUGCAUGAUCCAUAAACAUAUAUAUUUAAAUAUUAAUAUAAUAUAUAUGUAUAUAUAACAACCCAUUCUAUACCAUUUUUAAAUGCUUAAGUACACCAGCUAAAGUUCUUUAAUUUUGAUUCAUUUGACCUGAUUCUCAGGACCUGAGGUAAGUCAAAUCAAACAUGGACGUCAACAUUAACCUCAGUAUCGAUAUUGCGGCGCACAGGCCCACUGUGCAGCAGGGUAACGAUAACGUAAAAAUAUUGAGUGUAAAAAUGUUGACAUCAGCAAGCUAGACUCAUGCAAAAGAAGGGAACCAAAUAACAAUAACAACUUCGGGCACAUAACAGAGAAGGGUGGCGUGAAUAGUCAUUUGUGGCACAUAACUUGUUAAAAUGUGUUCUUAAUGUGAUUUUAUCACACUGCACCCUACCAACCCUCCAAACCUUCCUGCGGGUGGUGAGUCCUCUGGGCCAAAGCGCCACUUAACUGAAAGUCACUCACUGAAAACUUCUCAGAAUAAGAUUCCGUCCGCCUACCACUAGAGGGAGCCCAAGUACUAACAUUGACACGCAUGUAUAGUUUGAGAACAAACGAUUUACUCUUGGAUCUUCUAAUUCCUGGUUCUGUCCACUCUGGUAACAAACAGAACAGUGUUCUGUCUUUUAGACCGCGCUGCUGUCAAUGACAAGGAUAAAUAAGUGGUGACGAAGGAUUUGCUGAAGACACAAAAGGUAAAAAAGAAGACGGUUUUAUAAUCAUACCGACAUCCAUAUCAGAAAGAGCGUUUCCAGACCGUUACCUCAGAUCCUCUCCAUCCAGCAGCCUUCUAUACUCAG
Molecule: long non-coding RNA, 1005 nt
Organism: Cynoglossus semilaevis (tongue sole)
Lineage: Eukaryota; Metazoa; Chordata; Actinopteri; Pleuronectiformes; Cynoglossidae
Exons: 3
Source: RefSeq, a predicted model, not a curated record